UGGGGAAUCUUCCGCAAUGGACGAAAGUCUGACGGAGCAACGCCGCGUGAGUGAAGAAGGUUUUCGGAUCGUAAAACUCUGUCUUUUGGGGCGAACGUGAGUAUGGUGAACAAUCAUAGUCAGUGACGGUACCAAAGGAGGAAGCCACGGCUAACUACGUGCCAGCAGCCGCGGUAAUACGUAGGUGACAAGCGUUGUCCGGAAUUAUUGGGCGUAAAGAGCGCGUAGGCGGGAUAGUCAGUCUGUUGUAAAAGUGCGGGGCUCAACCCCGUGAUGGCAAUGGGAAAGCAAGCUAUUCUUGUAGUUGCAGGAGGAGGAAAGGUAGGAAGUUCCAAUGCUGUAGCGGUGAAAUGCGUAGAUAUUGGGAGGAACACCAGUGGCGAAGGCGACUUUCUGGACUGUGUCUGACGCUGAGGCGCGAAAGCCAGGGGAGCGAACGGGAUUAGAUACCCGUACGUCCUGGCGCUGAAACCGAUGGGUAACUAGGGUGUGGGGGUGAUCGAGGCCCUUCCGUGCGCAUUACGCAAUAAGUACCAGCCCUGGGGAGUACGGUCGCAAGACUGAAACUCAAAGGAAUUGACGGGGUCAUAGCUGUUUCCU
Molecule: ribosomal RNA, 600 nt
Filed under: uncultured bacterium
Lineage: Bacteria
Description: partial 16S ribosomal RNA
Rfam family: Bacterial small subunit ribosomal RNA
Source: RNAcentral